Non-coding RNA from Pelobates cultripes (western spadefoot toad), 1273 nucleotides. Lineage: Eukaryota; Metazoa; Chordata; Amphibia; Anura; Pelobatidae. The record is from the annotation of a GenBank genome assembly.
GGGGGAAAUGUUUGUGUGUGUGAGGGACAGUGUGUGUGGGGGCAGUGUGUGUAUGUGGGAGAAUUAUUGCCUGUGUAUGUGGAAGAAUUAUUGAGGGUAGAUUAAUAAAUUAUAUAUUUUUGUUAAUUAAUAAAAAUAAUACCUUUGAUAUGCCCCCUCCCUGCCUACCUUUGCCUGGGAGGGGGGGACAGUACUAAUCCCUGGUGGUCCGGUGGAGAAGCCCUGGUGGUUCCAGUGGUGAGUGUGAACCCCAGCAGCCUCAGGAACUGCUAGAGUUCACUCUUGCGAGAUUUGGAGCAUUGCUGUGUUAACCGUGGCAACAUUCCGAGCUCGCAAGAGGAGAACCCGGUGGAGCUGCAGGUUAGAGCUUCUCCGGUCUCCCUCCCUUGCUGGCUGCCAGCAGUAUUCUGCUUGCGGGCCGGUGAGGGAGAUCUCUAAUCUCCGUGCGAUCCUGCAGAGCUGUCAGGGGAGAAGGAGGCACGGUUACCGAAAAUAUCUUGCGGCAAUUUAUUGACUGUCUUCGAAAGCUUUCACCAGACGGUAUAGUCGGGUGAAAGCUUUUGCGGACCGGCAAUAAAUUCUUCCAGACCCCACAAGUUUUUAGGUGGCAGCCUAACUGACCUAAUUAGAGAGCUGCCUCUCUAACUAGGAGUUUGACCUAUGUUUAAUGUUUAUGCAGGUGUAUGUAUGCAGCAGAAGUUAGAUUAGUCUUUGACACAGAUGAAAACAAGUAAAAAUCAAACUAGUAACAAUUAAAACAAAUAAUCAGGAAGUGCAGACUAAAGUAAAAAUUAAUAAGGUAUAUAUGAAUAUUGUACAUUUAGCAAUAUUUGUAGCAGCCAAGUCAUUAAAGCACAAGAAGAACCACAAGAAGAACAUGGAGAUAAAACGUCUGAAAACGGUUUCUGUUUUGAGUUGGUCACAUUUUGCAGUGAUACUUAAUACACAAGAGAAACUGUAUCCCUCACUGCAUUAUUUAUACAUACCUCCAUGACUGUAUUACUGAUAAAACUUGGUUUUAGAUCCCCAGGAUUACUGUUAUAUAUGCUCUGAUUUUACUAUUUGUCUCCAUUGCUUUUUGUUUUUAUUGUCUAAGGAUCUUAUUUUAUUGUAACUUAUUAGCAGUGUCCGUAGGUUUUAUCUAUAAAAAUUUAACUAGUGAGAACUGCUAUUAGAAAUACAUCCGACAAGAAGAAAUUACAACAUCCAUUAGUGAGCACUCCAUGAAUUAAUGUUGUGCUUUUUCUAGAUCAAUAAUACACGUAUGACUGGA